Aspergillus calidoustus is the source of this 131-nucleotide transfer RNA. It matches the Rfam family "tRNA". From Rfam's summary of the family: Transfer RNA (tRNA) molecules are approximately 80 nucleotides in length. Their secondary structure includes four short double-helical elements and three loops (D, anti-codon, and T loops). The record is from Rfam. Lineage: Eukaryota; Fungi; Ascomycota; Eurotiomycetes; Eurotiales; Aspergillaceae.
GGCAAGGUGGCCGAGUGGUCUAAGGCGCACGGUUCAGGUUUACUGAGCCCCCAACUAUACUCAUCACGCAUGUGGUGGCAUGUAGUUUCCGUGUCUCGAAAGGGGCGUGGGUUCGAAUCCCACCCUUGUCA